RNAcentral lists this ribosomal RNA (253 nucleotides) under uncultured bacterium. RNAcentral describes it as "partial 16S ribosomal RNA". It matches the Rfam family "Bacterial small subunit ribosomal RNA", at positions 524 to 776 of the family's 1533-position model. The record is from RNAcentral.
UACGGAGGGUGCGAGCGUUGUCCGGAAUUACUGGGCGUAAAGCGCACGUAGGCGGCUUUGUAAGUUAGAGGUGAAAGCCCGGGGCUCAACUCCGGAACUGCCUUUAAGACUGCAUCGCUUGAAUCCGGGAGAGGUGAGUGGAAUUCCGAGUGUAGAGGUGAAAUUCGUAGAUAUUCGGAAGAACACCAGUGGCGAAGGCGGCUCACUGGACCGGUAUUGACGCUGAGGCACGAAAGCGUGGGGAGCGAACAGG